GGCUGGUCCAAAGAUAGUGAGCUAUCUCAAUUGAUUAUUUAGUCAGUUACAGACUGAAUUCCUUGUUCUAUUCUUUUCCCCUUCUCACUACUGUACUUGACUAGUCUUAA
This 110-nucleotide Y RNA is filed under the name Microcebus murinus (gray mouse lemur). RNAcentral's name for it is "Y RNA (ENSMICG00000041816.1)". It matches the Rfam family "Y RNA". Rfam says of the family: Y RNAs are components of the Ro ribonucleoprotein particle (Ro RNP), in association with Ro60 and La proteins. The Y RNAs and Ro60 and La proteins are well conserved, but the function of the Ro RNP is not known. The record is from Rfam by way of RNAcentral. Lineage: Eukaryota; Metazoa; Chordata; Mammalia; Primates; Cheirogaleidae.